AAUAGAUACCCUGGUAGUCCACGCCGUAAACGUUGGGCACUAGGUGUGGGGACCUAUCGACGGUUUCCGUGCCGAAGCUAACGCAUUAAGUGCCCCGCCUGGGGAGUACGGCCGCAAGGCUAAAACUCAAAAGGAAUUGACGGGGGCCCGCACAAGCGGCGGAGCAUGUGGCUUAAUUCGAUGCAACGCGAAGAACCUUACCUGGGCUUGACAUGUACGGAAAAGCCGUAGAGAUACGGUGUCCUUCGGGGUCGUACGCAGGUGGUGCAUGGCUGUCGUCAGCUCGUGUCGUGAGAUGUUGGGUUAAGUCCCGCAACGAGCGCAACCCUUGUCCUAUGUUGCCAGCACGUCAUGGUGGGGACUCGUAGGAGACUGCCGGUGCCAAACCGGAGAAGGUGGGGACGACGUCAAGUCAUCAUGCCCCUUACGUCCAGGGCUGCACACAUGCUACAAUGGCCGGUACAAAGGGCUGCAAUCCCGCGAGGGGGAGCUAAUCCCAGAAAAGCCGGUCUCAGUUCGGAUCGCAGUCUGCAACUCGA
RNAcentral lists this ribosomal RNA (539 nucleotides) under uncultured bacterium. RNAcentral's name for it is "bacterial SSU rRNA". It matches the Rfam family "Bacterial small subunit ribosomal RNA", at positions 777 to 1315 of the family's 1533-position model. The record is from RNAcentral.